GGAAAUUGGUUGAGUUUCAGAGCACGUCCUCCUCGGCAGAGGGGGCUGGACUAGACCUUGGACAGCCCCCCCAAAAACUUGCCAAGCCUCGCACACACCACUUCACUCUCCACUCCGAGGCUCAGGGAGCAAGUGCCUGGCAUGGGGGGUAAAAGUUGGCUUUUUUUUUACUCCUUGGUCUUUUGCGCCCUUCUCCCUCUCCCCAGAAGGGAAGACCCAUUUAAACUAUUUUAGACGCAAUCAACCAAGAAUCACCAUGUGGAAUUGAGCGGCAGUUUUAAAUGUGUUGAGCAGGGGAGAGGAAUGAUGAGAAAAACAUUUUUUUUUUUUUUUUUGGAGACGCCGAAAGAAGCCUGUUUGUGUGCUGCGGCCGUGCUGUGACUUUGGAUCUUGUCUUUCAGCCGGCGCCUCGGUUCCUGCCCAGCUGGAUUUGGGGGGCAGCAUUGCCUGGCGCAGGGAGAUCAAAUGAGACUGCAAAGAAGCAUAAAAUGAAUAGACAAUCCAACCAACCAAAGGAAAUUGCUUUGGAGAUGAGGAAACAAACUCUUAUGGAGACCUAAGAGACUGAAGACAUCUGGCGUGGACUACUCUGAUGGUAAAAUUGAAAGUACACCUAAAUUUGCUUUGUUACAGGAUUCUCUUCAGAGGACAAGAGAAGAUGUUACAUUCUCUGCAUGAGGACAAUUCUGCAGCAUCAAAAUCGAAUAAUAUUUGUUUUCUGGCAGCAGAAUUUUGUAUCAUAUUUCUAAAGACAGUAAGCACUUGGGUGGACGUCAAUGAAUACUAAACACUAAUUGAUCUGAUACAGCCGUAUGCACAUACACAGAUAUACAUGGUGGCUUGUAAUGGUUGAAAAAUUACGGUUUGGUUUUAUUAAAAGAUCUGUCACUUUUAGGUCAGAGUGGGAUUUUGGAGGGAUAGUCUCCCACAAUAGAAAACUACCCUGACAACAGUGGUGUUUUGAGGUUGUUUGUUGUUUGGCUUCUUGAUGAUGCUUAGCUAAGGAGACACUUCCUUUCAGAUUCUGUCUUCCAAACCCCAGGGCUCUGUUCUGGGCAGUUCAGCCUAAUGGAAUUAAGCCUGACAUGUUUCAACUCUAUUUCUUGAUAAAAUAAACAUAAAACAAUGGUUUAGAUUUCGAAUAAAACUCUUGAAGCAUGGGGUACUCUAACUUUCCCUGUUCUUUACACAUCUGUAAAUAAAGUGCAUAAAAGAGGAACACAACAGGAUAAAUCAACAUAAAUUUGAAAUCCACUGCAGCAUAUUAAAUGGCGCAGUCUCAGUCAAAGAGAGGCUGACCCCGCGGCUUCGUGCAGUUUGAAGCUAAUUGUUUUCGUCAGGAUGGGAACGUCUGGAAGUCCAUGGCUGUAUCCCACCAGUAAGGCUCCAGUAACUGAGCCGGCCCACAGAGAAUGGGCCCACUUUGUAGCGACACAGCGGGCUCAGACACCACCUAUUCUGCUCUCCAAACUGUCAUGCAUAACAACUUUAUUGUGCUAAAUUGAACUUGAAAGCAACCAAAGGCUAUGAGAAGGAGAGGCUAUGAGAAAAGCGUGCUGUCAGCGCCGGCAAAGGCUGACCUGGAAAGUAGGCUCAGAGACAGGGGAAUAAAAGACCAGGCCCCAUGAACACAGCAUAUUGUUUCAUUUUAAAGUAUGAUUCCCAUACCAGAGAAAGUAGCAAAUGUGAUGUAAAUUUAUUUAAAUAGAUUCGACCGCUUAAAAGUUUGCCAGCCGCUCUUAUCCAACUUUCCCAGCUCUCUGAUUCGUUACUUACAGUGGGAAUAUAAUGACAUAUAGUCAUCAUUGUAACAGCUUCUUUGCAGGGGCACAAUGAUGAUUAAUAGCCAGCAGCAAAUUUUCACAUGGGCUCUGAAGCACUAUGGCAUUAAGCAGCCAAACAGUCCCAAAUCCCCCUUUUCUGUUCCGCUGAAAAGUCCCCUCCUUGUACCUUCCAGAUAGGAACAAAGCCUAUCUUAAUUCCAAUCAGCUUUUCGUCAUUCAAAGGGACCUUCUCUUUUUCAUAAUUGAUUCAUGUGCAUUUUUUAGUGUUCCACUGAGCUGAAGCCACUUUUCUCCUUUCCUCUGUUCUGUCCCCACACCCACACCCCCUUUUUUUGAGGGGGUGAGGAGUGGGAAACAUUUCAACAACAACAACAACAGUAAAAAAUGGUGUGGUAGUUUCCCCCGCAAAUAUUUGCUAAAUAGAUUUCUCAAUUAGUAUUAGCUUUACACUUAAAAGUCUUAAAACAAAAAUUAACUCCUGGACUUCUUUUUUGUUGGAAGUGGUUUUGGUUAUAAAAAUAUGAGCUUACUGAAAUAGCUCUGGUGGCAGCCCCACAAUCAUGUUCUGUUUCACUGGGAGAGUUUGAGUAGCUUUCCUUCCCACCAGAGACUCACAGCUGGAGUGAGGAUGGAGUCUCUUGCUUCAGACAGAUUCUUUUUCCUCCUCUGUGCUGGUAGCCAUCAAAAAAAGAACAAGUGACCAAAAUGAAAGGCGGCAAAUGCACACCUCCUAACCCACUCUGUCCUUCUUAAGUAUCAUUUUUCCCCAUAGUAAUCGUACAUUAUAAUUAUUAGCAGAAGCUCCUGUGCUAUUUGUGGAAGUGCUCUCUCUCGUCUAUAGUUUUCACCUCCUGUGAUAACGACACAAACGACAUCAACCAGUGCUGUCUUGGAAAAAGAUUUCCAUCCGCAAAUUCAUUUGUGUUUCUAUGACAAUAUGAUGGCCAUAGAGCACAGUUUUAGUAGAUAUACUUUGCAUAUUUGUUUACAUUCCUUACAAAUCUGACCUCAUUUUUCUAUAUGAGUAGGGUGACCACACACCCCUGUUUUCUCAGGACUAGCUGUAUUUAUGCCUAUUGUCCUUACAUAAUUAUUAACAGUACUUCCUUUCACCCUCAAAAGUAUCCUGAUUUGAACAAUUUGAAAAACUCAUGACGUUUUGCCAUUAAAAUGGCCCCAAAUGACUUACACAAACCCAAAGGGUGGGCUGUCUCCUACCCAGGUGGCUGGGGACUGCUUUAUACCAUCCCAGUUUAGGGGAAAGAAUCAAACUUGGAAACCCUGCUGCCGAUGUAGCAGCACCGACUUUUGUCUCGCCCACUUUGAAGAGGUCAGUUGACCCUAUACAGCUUCUUUGAUAUGUGACAGAAAGGAGGUCAUUUGCUGAAAUGAAAGACACAUUACAAACCAGAUUUUAAGUGUGACUCUUUCCUUCAGCUGGGUCACAGUUCUUACUUUGAGCCAGAGCAACACACUUUACUGGUCAGAUAAAAAUACUCUGCCAUAUUUUAGAAUAAUGACCUUUCUUAUGCUUUGGUGUCUCCAAAUGGUUAAAUGGAGAAUAUAUCCAAUUGACAGGAGGAAUUCUGUUCAUCAUUUUUACUCUUGUGUUUAUAUCUUCUCAUAAAAAAAAAACAUGUGAAAAUGGCAUCAUGUAUCUCUAUUGUAUUUUUCAUUCAAAAAUCUCAAACAGGUGAGUGUAAUCCAGUCUUUAGGUUAUAGGACCAAAGACUCUCAAAGACUGUUACAAACCCCCGGACAGUGUCCCUAAGGGCUGGACUUUGCAUGUGGAUUACCGAGUUAACUGAGAGAUGUGUAAUAUCAUCUGUAGUCAGAAAACUCCCUACUCCCUAUAUGGAGCAACCAAGGACAUUCACAUGUGUUGCUUACUCUUGAAAGUAUAUGGGAUAAAUGGGCUCCUGAUAUGCUAGUUUCAGAAUAACUAUGGCAGGACCUUAAAAUUUCCCACUUUCCAUAAGAUCAUAGCUCAUAUUCAAUUACUGGCAGGAUAAACAUGUAAGAUUAUUAACUCUGCCUUACUAGUUCUUUUAGAGGAGCAUAGCCCCUUGAUGAAGGCAUUGUUCUAAGCCAAAUCUGGACCUAUCCAAUCUUUAUUCAUGCAUUUUAUCCGCUUUCUUAGAUCAUUCUUUCAGAAAUGAAAUGAGUGAGGUACAUGAAAUAUAUUUUCUGAUGCACUCUUUUUAAAAUAAAAUACUUUUUAUGGUUGUGCAUUUAUUUGUGAAGUGAAUGUUUAGAAAACUUUAAAACCAAUUCUACCAUUCUGUCCUUCUUUCAUGGUGAUAACCAACUGUUCUGUUUAAUAGGAUGAUGGAAUUGGUUACCACUAAAGUCCAGCCCUUAGAAAUUACUCUGUAUUUUUAGGCCCUAGACGUUUAUAAGUCUAUGAGAAUCUAACAAGGAGAAUUGGUUUCUCCUAACAAUUCUAUUAUCUUGUAGGUGGCUGUGUCCAUUCUUAAAACUUUUGGCUCAUCUUACCAGAUUUUUUACAAAGAUGCAGAUGUUCCUUAAAAGUGGCUGAAAGAUUAGGAGUUCCUUAAAAGUGGCUGAAAGAUUAGGGACUUUGUGCCUGAUGUGCUGGAAUAUGCCCGAGUUCUGUUAAAUCUGAUUUAACCAUAUUAAAUC
This 4427-nucleotide long non-coding RNA is filed under the name Homo sapiens (human). RNAcentral describes it as "HSALNT0327953". Lineage: Eukaryota; Metazoa; Chordata; Mammalia; Primates; Hominidae. The record is from RNAcentral.